RNAcentral lists this microRNA precursor (101 nucleotides) under Marmota monax (woodchuck). The record is from RNAcentral. Lineage: Eukaryota; Metazoa; Chordata; Mammalia; Rodentia; Sciuridae.
AUGAAUUAUUUGGGAAUCUUGUUAAAAGGUAGAUUCUAAUUCCAUAUAUCUGGAGGAAGCUGAGAGUCUGUGAUUCUAAUGAGCCCCUAGAAGAGGUCAUA